Molecule: long non-coding RNA, 1371 nt
Organism: Cyprinus carpio (common carp)
Lineage: Eukaryota; Metazoa; Chordata; Actinopteri; Cypriniformes; Cyprinidae
Source: Ensembl
GUCUGUGUUGUAAUUGUUGGGAUUUUUCCUGCAAGAAAAGUUAAAGAUUUCCACGCUAGAACACACAUUUCGCUUUGUACUUGAAUAUGUAUGUAUAAAGUGAAAUAAAACUAGUCUCGAGGAGUGAGUUACAGAGAUUUUGGCUCACAUGAAUAACGUUAACGUUACCAUAACGCGCGAGACCCGCUCAAGCUGUAGCAUGAAACUACAAAGUAAAAGUAAAAGCAACCUGGACCCUUGAGAUACACACGCAUGUUUGGUGAUGGAAGGAUGGUUUGUGGUGUUAGUUUGUGUGCUGUUCUCAAGGCAACCGUCUGAAGUUCAUGCAUUCACACGAAAGGCGCUGUUUUUGCACUGGAAGACAGUUUUUAAAUUUUCAAGGUCAUGUUAAAUCCCCUCGAUGACACUUGUGUGGACAUUAUGCAGCCUGUCCAUAAAAACAUUUAUAAAUGGUCAGCCAUGAGAGAUGACAUCAAUAUCAGUGUGGAGGUGCGGGUGGUAUAGAAGCUCAAGGUGGAAUAAAAGAGAGUGAUAAAGAGCCAGGUAAUGGAGCGGAACAGAGGUGGUACCACUGCAGCGUACUCCUCUCCCUCAAGCCCAGAUGAGUUGGACUUGAGCUGGGAUGAAGAACCGGAUGAGGACUUUCAAAGCCAGAUGAAUGAGAAUGGCAUCAUUGGUCUGGCAGAGAGUCAAGGGCAGCAGGAGGGAGAAGAGGAGGAGAUUGCAGAAGACCUGUUGUGGGAUGUGAAGACCCCUGAGCCUGAGCAUGGGCCACCGCCUGCACUAGAGGAGAUAAGCUGUCACCUGAGUGAGCUGCUGGACUCUGAGCCGCUCUCUCAGGCCACUGGAGAUGACUGCUGCUCUCCAUCUCUGCAGGAAGAACACAAAACAGAUGAUGACCGAAGUGUUUUGUUGGAGGAUUGGACUGAUGAUGAGGACGGUACAAGGAGCCCAACAAUUCACAGGCACAUAUUAAACCCUUUCCCACAGAGAGACACAGUGCUAGACAUGAUCGAUGAGGAAACAAAAGAGAAGGACACAUGUGAAGAUGCUCAGAGAUUCAUGGAUCAAACAUUACCUGUCACAAAAGAGAUGGCAUCUAUGUUUGAAAGGAUGAAGAGCUGUGAUUACAGUGAGAUCCCACAGCAUUUUGAGCAAAGUGAUUGUGAGGAAACUGAGGAAACCAAUGGACAGUUUCUUCCAGUCUCACAUCGCAUCUCUAGAAACACUUGUAAUCCCAUCAGGUUUCCCUAUUUGUCCUACGGGGAACUUAUGAAUAACUGUGGGAUUGAAGCUGAAACAUUUCCAGCACAGUACCAGAGGAGUUACACUGCCCCCAGCAGGCCAGCACACUGAUGCAGCUGCUACAUG